UACGUAGGGGGCAAGCGUUAUCCGGAAUCAUUGGGCGUAAAGGGCGCGUAGGCGGAUAGUUUAGUCAGAGGUGAAAGCCCAGGGCUCAACCUUGGAACUGCCUUUGAUACUGGCUAUCUUGAGUUCGGGAGAGGUGAGUGGAAUGCCGAGUGUAGAGGUGAAAUUCGUAGAUAUUCGGCGGAACACCAGUGGCGAAGGCGACUCACUGGCCCGAUACUGACGCUGAGGCGCGAAAGCGUGGGGAGCAAACAGG
RNAcentral lists this ribosomal RNA (253 nucleotides) under uncultured bacterium. RNAcentral's name for it is "partial 16S ribosomal RNA". It matches the Rfam family "Bacterial small subunit ribosomal RNA", at positions 524 to 776 of the family's 1533-position model. The record is from RNAcentral.